CCUACGGGUGGCAGCAGUGGGGAAUAUUGGACAAUGGGGGGAACCCUGAUCCAGCGACGCCGCGUGAGUGAAGAAGUAUUUCGGUAUGUAAAGCUCUAUCAGCAGGGAAGAAAGAAAUGACGGUACCUGACUAAGAAGCCCCGGCUAACUACGUGCCAGCAGCCGCGGUAAUACGUAGGGGGCAAGCGUUAUCCGGAUUUACUGGGUGUAAAGGGAGCGUAGACGGUUACGCAAGUCUGGAGUGAAAGGCGGGGGCCCAACCCCCGGACUGCUUUGUAAACUGUAGAACUGGAGUGCAGGAGAGGUAAGUGGAAUUUCUAGUGUAGCGGUGUAAUGCGUAGGAAUUUGGAGGAACGCCAGUGGCGAAGGCGGCUUACUGGACUGUAACUGACGUUGAGGCUCGAAAGCGUGGGGAGCAAACAGGAUUAGAUACCCUGGUAGUC
This 443-nucleotide ribosomal RNA is filed under the name uncultured bacterium. Its description in RNAcentral is "partial 16S ribosomal RNA". It matches the Rfam family "Bacterial small subunit ribosomal RNA", at positions 338 to 795 of the family's 1533-position model. The record is from RNAcentral.